AAAGAAUGAAAUUUUGCUAUUUGUAGCAACAUGGGUGAAAAUGGAGGGCAUUAUGCUAAGUGAAAUAUGUCAGAAAAAGAUAAAUACUAUAUGAUAUCACUUAUACUUGGCAUCUAAAACAUAUAACUAGUAAAUACAAUAAAAAAGAAGCAGACUCACAAAUAUAGAGAACAAACUGGGGUUACCAGUGGGAAGAGAGAAGGAGGGGGGGAAUAUAGGGGUAGAGGAGUAAGAGGUACAAACUACUAGACAUAAUAUAAGCUACAAGGUAUGUUGUACAACAUGGGAAAUAUAGCCAAUGUUUUAUAGUAACUAUAAAUGGAGUUUAACCUUUAAAAAUAAAAUAAGAAUUAAACAAAGCCCCAUCAGACAGUGACUCAUGAGAUAUCAGCCUCUUUUCCAUUCUAGACUGUACCAUUUUUACAUACAUUUUCUAGCUAAAAUUUUGAAGUAAUUUACUUUCAGUCACUAAUCUUAUAUUCUUUGUUUUUUAGUGGCUCAUGUAACAUUGUAGAAAUUUUGAAAUAAAAUUAAUUGUCUUACUCUUUCUUUCACAGGAAAUCUCCAUCUGAGGGGGAAAGAAUGGACUUGUCCUGCUCUGCUACAAAAUUGUAAGUUCAGUAUGAUUUUAACUCUAUUUUUAAAAAGUAAUUAGCGUAUUAGAUGAAAGUAAGGUGAUUGAGGGAAUGGGCAUUGAACUCAGACCCUCUGGGUUUGAGUGCCAUUUUUAGCAAUUACAAGCUGUGUGACUCUUGACAAAUGACUCAGCUACUCUGUGCCUUAAUUUCAACUAUAGAUAGAGAUAAUAGUGCUUACUUCAUUGUUGUGAGGAUUUAAACAAGCUAAUGCACAAAGGUCUUGGUGAAGUGCCUGGCACUUAGAAGUUUCUCAAUAAAUGUCAGCUAUUAUUAUUUCCAAGUAGUGGGACAAUAAGUGAUUUUGUUCUUUUAAUUUUCUAAAACAAAUUUUAAUAUGGCUAUGAUAUGUGUUAUGACAGAAACUAAGGUUAUAAAUAUAAAACAGAAAAAACUGUCCCUCUUUGAAAACUGGAAAUUUGAAAAAUUUGAAAAUCUCCUCCUUUUCUCAAAUCCAACAUCAGCCAAACUGAUGUUCAAUUUGAGUGGAAUAGUAUGUUAAAAAGGGGGAGAGAAGGGAGAGGAACAAAAGGAUAAAAUUGUUCUAGCCACUCUUCUUGAUAAACCCAUUCUCCAUUCUUCCUUCUCAACUGACUGUCACAAUGACUUUCUGUACCAAAUAAAAGAGAGAGAAGAUGCAGUUUCUCCUUGAAACCUUCCCAAAUGUCAGUGGGAUAACAGUUGAAUCUCCUGCCAACCCUUCUAUCUCACCAUCACUCUGUUGGGUCAGUCAUUUUUAGUGUACUGAUAUGUAAACAGCUAUGACUUGCUCUCACUCUUUGUAAGAUCAUUAGAAAGAUUCUCUGUUUAAAAUGAACAAUUUAAAAUGUUACAGCUUUCUUCAGGCCUUUUGCUUUAGAGAAUGGCAGAAUGGAGUUCUGAGUCCAGGCUUUCACCUUGCCCUGACAGUUCAAUCAAUUAACCAGCAAAUAGUUAUUGAAUGCCUACGCUGUGCCCGGGUUAUAAUGUUCUGACCUGACUAGGUCACUCUUCUUCCAGAUUGUCCUACCCAGUCCCUUUUCAGAUGUCAAUGGAUCAUGGCUAGGCUCAGCUGAAAGAGCCAUGUCUGAGCCCCUGGGAUGUUCUGGCCAUUUCUGAGCCACCACGAUUAUCCAUGGGGAUUAGAGGUGAGGACAGUUGGUGGGGUGCAGAGGCAGUAUCCAUUUCAAAUACAGACACUUAAAUGUGGGCUCAGGUAGAACCAACUGUGUUGGCAAAAUUGAGUAAUUUUUAGUGCUUCUAUCAGAAGUCUGGCAUUCUGGAAACCUGCUCACCUGACUGGAGGGCUUGGAAGGUGAAAGUUGGUUUAAAAAAACCCAAGCUAGUAAGUAAAGACUAUUUGAUUUGAGCCUAAGGGGAAAUCAUUUUAUUCACAUACACUCUGGUCAUUUAAUAGUUGUAUGACCUGAACAGUUAUUUGCUAUUGAGCACUUUCUAUGUGCCAGAUCCUUUGCUACAUGGUUUAUACCUAUUAUCUUAUAAAUUAUUCAUAAUGGUCCUUUGCAUACAUCCUUGUGUUUUCUCUGUGAGAAGCCCGAGGCUUAGAGGAGUGCAGUAAUUACUGAAGAUCCUCUAAGUAGUGUGAUGAUGCUGAUAGCUGAGCCUCAGUGUCUUCAAAUGUGAAAUGCAAAAUGUAAUAGCUAAUCUCCCAGAGUACUCGCCAUGAAUAAAUGAAGGUGUAUACAAUACAUAAGAUAUAUAGAUCUAUAAAAUAAAACUAUAAAUUUUUAAAUUAAAAAAUAUGUACACACACACUUAUGUAUAUAUGUUUUUCUGGUACAUAAUAAUCACUUAAUAACAUUAUUUUAACUACAGAGACCAAUUUGUUUCUGUAGAGGAAUACAUGGUGAGAAGUAAACUUUCAUUUGAGGUUUGCUAACAUAUUCUGUAGACAGAGUUUCUGUCAUCUUCCUGCUCAGAGUUUGUUGAAAAUCAUUUAUGUAUUCCAUUAGUUAUGUGAAUUAUUCACUGAUACGACUCUCCUGCUUUUACUUCAGGUGAUGAUGGCAGGGCUUUUAACCUCUCAUUCAACUUCUAAUUGGAAAGAGACCCUUUCUCCCUGGGUGCCUUUCCCUGCCACACUGUGUGCUCCGAAAAGGCAGGACCAAAUUUGGUCAAGAAUACUUUCCUGGCCUGUGCACCUACCAUCUCCUAGUAAGUCAGACAGAGUCCCUGGAAACCUCCCACAGAAAAGUCACUGGAUGGAGUUCCUGUUGCGGCGCAGUGGUUAAAGAAUCUGACUAGGAACCAUGAGGUUGCGGGUUCGGUCCCUGCCCUUGCUCAGUGGGUUAACGAUCCGGCGUUGCCGUGAGCUGUGGUGUAGGUUGCAGACGCGGCUCGGAUCCUGCGUUGCUGUGGCUCUGGCAUAGGCCAGUGGCUACAGCUCCGGUUGGACCCCUAGCCUGGGAACCUCCAUAUGCCGUGGGAGCAGCCCUUUCUUAGAAAAGGCAAACAGACAAAAAAGAAAAAAAAAGAAAAGUCACUGGAAAAUAUAGUCAACCCACCAAAUUCUGUUUAUUCAGGAAGAAAGAUUCUUGGACCCAGGGGUCCUUCUUCUACCCUCUAUUUCCAGGCACUCCCCAGGUGUUAGCUUAACCUGAUAUAAUGUAUCUCUGCUAAAACAUUUGUUAGGGGUUAUCUGUCAAAAUGAUUAAAGAUUUUCCCUAGUAUAUAGAAACAUAUAGCACAAAACCUGGAGAAGUUAAUUCUAAUAUGGUAUCAGUAGAGGGAUAGAUAAAUAGACUCAUGGAAGAGACAGGGUGCAGAUCAUGCCUUCAUCCCAACUAUUAUGUUUAUAUGAUAAACAUGAUAAAUGUGGCAUUUCAAACUAGUAAAGGAAGAAGAGACUAUUUUAUUAUACCCAUCUGGAAAAAAAUAAAAAUAAUAUUUCUCUCAUAUUAUCUAAAACAAAUUCCAGGUGGAUUAAAAUUCUAAACACAAAAAAACUAUAUUGUCUUAGAAAAAGUAUAGGAGAAUAAUUUUACUAUCUUGACAUCAAACCCUGAAGCCAUAAAGGAAAGAUUGGAGUAGUUGAUUAUAAAAAUUAAAAACUCUGACACAAAAUAUAUGUAAAUACAGAAAACACAUUCAGUAGCAUCUUUGCAAGGAUUACCUCCUAUGAAGGUGUUGUAAAGGACAUGUAAUCAUAUAACUUGGGAUACAGAAAUACAUUGAAAAGAAAAAUGUUUAGAGAAAAGAUACAUUUAUCUAUCUUUUAUCUGUCUACCUAUCUAUCUGAAAAAAAUAGGGUAGGAUCAUUUACACUUUUACCUGUAUCAACCCUAUUUAUUUUAUUAGUAGAUAUUAUUGUUUUCAUCUUUGGUUACAUGAUUGUAGAAUGUCCUCCCUCCCCCACUUCUACUCCCCUCUUAUCUUCUGAAAAAGAUUGUAAUAUAAGAGCCUGCCUUUAAAGAUUGACUUUUAAAGAUCUGAAAUUUAUUUUAAGCUGAAAUAAAAUGUUGACUAAAAUAGUCUAUCCUCAGACUCACUGUUUGACCUAUAACCGCAAUUAUUCUCUUUUUUUACUGUCCAAUGACAUACCACAAAAUUCUUUUUUGAUUUGGAUCUCUGCAGGUCUUUGCAGCUGGAAAUUGUUUCCAACUCCUGUUUAGGGCAAGAGAAAUUCGGAGUUGGAAGGAAGGUUAGAAUUGAUCUAGUCAAAUCUCCAUUCCAACUUGUAUUCCCUCCACAAAAUCCCCUCUUGAUCCAUUAAUGUGCCCAUGCAAGCUACUGUAGUCAGUGUGAAAGAGACAAAGAACACAGAGCAGAAAAAACAGCAGGAAGGGGAGCUGUGGAAAUCCUCACACCCUAAAAUCUCACUAAGUUUUAUAUGUCACUCUACCAAAUAGGAAAAAAAAGUCAAAGAUUGUUUUAUAAAAGGCCUUACUUUCUGAAUAGGACUUCUGUAAGUAAUAAAUGUACAUACAAUGUUGGAACAUUUAUGAGUAUGAAUCAUUCCUAAAUUAUCAGCUCACAUUAUCAUAUAAAUGAUCACUUUUGCUUUCUCUCCCAAUAGUGCUAUAAUUGCUAAUAAAGCAGUUUAUACAUGUUUUAAGUGAGACUACAGUGCUCUAGAAAACUAACAUUUUUAUAUUGCUGUAAUAAUAAAAAUGCAAAAUUAUUCAGGCAGUUUUCAUCGGUUGCCCAAGCCUCCGGAUCAAGUCCCAUUCAGUCCACCCUACAUCUGUAAGGAAAACAAGUCUGACUGAACCCUAAAUAAGGAAUUAUAUCAAGAUCCCAGGCUUGGUAUAUUUAAAGACCAAGAUCAAAUUGCUGCUGAUGAUAUUUGCUCCCAGUCUCUGAGUCUAUCCUCUUUCCAAUCCUAAAAAGUCUACCUAUGAGAAUUUGGGUCUCUAGAAAAGAAAAUUAAUGGAAAAUAAUGAUCCUACCUUUGAUGCAUGGUGGCCAUGAUAUGGACAAUUAAAAAGAAGUUCUCUAGUCUAGUGAAAAGGAUGGUUAAUAUAAUAGUUUGGACUUAAGUGAUGCAGAUUGGCUCUGUG
Molecule: long non-coding RNA, 5134 nt
Filed under: Sus scrofa (pig)
Lineage: Eukaryota; Metazoa; Chordata; Mammalia; Artiodactyla; Suidae
Description: lncRNA (ENSSSCG00000060507.1)
Source: RNAcentral